RNAcentral lists this ribosomal RNA (99 nucleotides) under Prevotellaceae bacterium. The record is from RNAcentral. Lineage: Bacteria; Pseudomonadati; Bacteroidota; Bacteroidia; Bacteroidales; Prevotellaceae.
CGGCAGGGUUCCACCUCUUCCCAUUCCGAACAGAGAAGUUAAGCCUGCUUGCGCCAAUGGUACUGCAAUGCAAUGCGGGAGAGUAGGUAGCCGCCUCCU